This 427-nucleotide ribosomal RNA is filed under the name uncultured bacterium. Its description in RNAcentral is "bacterial SSU rRNA". It matches the Rfam family "Bacterial small subunit ribosomal RNA", at positions 355 to 774 of the family's 1533-position model. The record is from RNAcentral.
UGGGGAAUAUUGGACAAUGGGCGAAAGCCUGAUCCAGCCAUGCCGCGUGUGUGAAGAAGGUCUUCGGAUCGUAAAGCACUUUAAGUUGGGAGGAAGGGCAUUAACCUAAUACGUUAGUGUCUUGACGUUACCGACAGAAUAAGCACCGGCUAACUUCGUGCCAGCAGCCGCGGUAAUACGAAGGGUGCAAGCGUUACUCGGAAUUACUGGGCGUAAAGCGUGCGUAGGUGGUCGUUUAAGUCUGUUGUGAAAGCCCUGGGCUCAACCUGGGAACUGCAUCCAAAACUGGCAAGCUAGAGUAUGGUAGAGGGUGGUGGAAUUUCCUGUGUAGCGGUGAAAUGCGUAGAUAUAGGAAGGAACACCAGUGGCGAAGGCGACCACCUGGACUGAUACUGACACUGAGGUGCGAAAGCGUGGGGAGCAAACA